This 653-nucleotide long non-coding RNA is filed under the name Fragaria vesca (wild strawberry). RNAcentral describes it as "long non-coding RNA (FVES_LNC004967)". Lineage: Eukaryota; Viridiplantae; Streptophyta; Magnoliopsida; Rosales; Rosaceae. The record is from RNAcentral.
UCAGAAGAAUCCACCUGACUCUGCAAUCUGUCAAGCUAGAGAUUUUCCAUGCAACAGCUUCCACAAUAACAAUGAUUUCUCUUUUGGAAAACAGAGUUGGCAAAAUAAUGUUACUCCAUUGGUUUGGAGGACAAUUCAGAGAAACAAACUAGUAGCUCUAAUUUUGAGAAAUAGUUAAUGACCAUACUGUGGUACAGUUUAUGCUAACCAUUUAUGUGGAGUUUGUUUCUCUGAAUUGUCCUAAUUUUGAGAAACAAACAUACCUGACUCUGCAAUUUAAUUUAACGUUAAAUGGUUAAUGACCAGUCUAGCUAGUAGCUCUAACUUUGAGAAAUUUCUGUUCAAUAGAUAUGGAUUUUUCCUAUAAAAAAAAGAGUAAAUGACACUUUAGUACUAAUUUAAGCUUCAUUUUGCCCAUUUAAAUGUUUUUAAAAGAAAUGUGUCCACUUCAAUAUAAGGUGUGUAAAAUGUGCCCUAUUGGACAAAACUUUUUUAAUGGGCCCAUUUUUAACAGUUUUUUCUGUCGAAAAUACCCUCAACCCAUGGAUUAUAUACACCAGACGAGAUCCAUUUUCAAAUUUCUGUUUUGAAGAGAGAGAAAGUUUACGAUCGGAGAGAGAGAGAGAGAGAGAGAGAGAGAGAGAGAGAGAGAG